This 253-nucleotide ribosomal RNA is filed under the name uncultured bacterium. RNAcentral's name for it is "partial 16S ribosomal RNA". It matches the Rfam family "Bacterial small subunit ribosomal RNA", at positions 524 to 776 of the family's 1533-position model. The record is from RNAcentral.
UACGUAGGGGGCAAGCGUUGUCCGGAUUUAUUGGGCGUAAAGAGCGUGUAGGCGGCUUGGUAGGUCCGCUGUGAAAACUCGAGGCUCAACCUCGAGAUGUCGGCGGAAACCACUUGGCUAGAGUCCGGAAGAGGAGAGUGGAAUUCCUGGUGUAGCGGUGGAAUGCGCAGAUAUCAGGAGGAACACCAAUAGCGAAGGCAGCUCGCUGGGACGGUACUGACGCUAAGGCGCGAAAGCGUGGGGAGCGAACAGG